This 434-nucleotide ribosomal RNA is filed under the name uncultured bacterium. Its description in RNAcentral is "bacterial SSU rRNA". It matches the Rfam family "Bacterial small subunit ribosomal RNA", at positions 28 to 456 of the family's 1533-position model. The record is from RNAcentral.
GAUGAACGCUGGCGGCGUGCUUAACACAUGCAAGUCGAACGAUUGAAGCUGGAGCUUGCUCCGGCCGAUUUAGUGGCGGACGGGUGAGUAACGCGUGGGUAACCUGCCUCAUACAGGGGGAUAGCAGUUGGAAACGACUGGUAAAACCGCAUAAGCGCACGGUGUCGCAUGACACAGUGUGAAAACACUCCGGUGGUAUGAGAUGGACCCGCGUCUGAUUAGCUAGUUGGUGAGGUAACGGCCCACCAAGGCGACGAUCAGUAGCCGGCCUGAGAGGGUGAACGGCCACAUUGGGACUGAGACACGGCCCAAACUCCUACGGGAGGCAGCAGUGGGGAAUAUUGCACAAUGGGGGAAACCCUGAUGCAGCGACGCCGCGUGAGUGAUGAAGUAUUUCGGUAUGUAAAGCUCUAUCAGCAGGGAAGAUAAUGACG